RNAcentral lists this small nucleolar RNA (106 nucleotides) under Helianthus annuus (common sunflower). Its description in RNAcentral is "Small nucleolar RNA Z103". It matches the Rfam family "Small nucleolar RNA Z103". Rfam says of the family: This family consists of several snoRNA Z103 sequences which are members of the C/D class of snoRNA which contain the C (UGAUGA) and D (CUGA) box motifs. The record is from Rfam by way of RNAcentral. Lineage: Eukaryota; Viridiplantae; Streptophyta; Magnoliopsida; Asterales; Asteraceae.
GUGGAAAUGAUGAUUAUUUCCCGAGAUGAUCGAAGUUGAUUAUACUGUUCGCAUUUAAGUAUUCUCUAUUACGUUAUAGAGAAUCCAAGUCAGAAAUCUGAUCCUA